CGGAAUUAUUGGGCGUAAAGCGUUUGUAGGCGGGCGAGUGUGUUUAAUGUUAAAUCUUAAAGCUCAACUUUGAAAUUGCGUUAAAAACUGCUUGUCUUGAGUAUGGUAGGGGUAAAGGGAAUUCCCAGUGUAGCGGUGAAAUGCGUAGAUAUUGGGAAGAACACUAAACAGCGAAGGCACUUUACUAGGCUAAUACUGACGCUGAGAAACGAAAGGUAAGGUAGCGAAACGGAUUAGAUACCCGUGUAGUCUUACCCGUAAACUAUGGACACUAAACGGUAAAUUUUUAAUUUACUGUUAAAGCUAACGCGUUAAGUGUCCCGCCUGGGGAGUAUGCUUGCAAAAGUGAAACUCAAAGGAAUUGACGGGGGCCCGCACAAGCGGUGGAGCAUGUGGUUUAAUUCGACGGUACACGAAGAACCUUACCAGGAUUUGACAUGCUAGAUAGUUGCUUGAAAGAGUAACGUGCCGUAAGGAAUCUAGACACAGGUGGUGCAUGGCUGUCGUCAGUUCGUGUUGUGAAAUGUUGGGUUAAGUCCCGCAACGAACGCAACCCUUGUCUUUAGUUAUUUUCUAAAGAGACUGCCUGUAAUAAACAGGAGGAAGGUAAGGAUGAGGUCAAGUCAUCAUGCCCCUUAUGUCCUGGGCUACACACGUGCUACAAUGGGAAAGACAAUGAGCUGCAAAUCUGUAAAUUUAAGCAAAUCUCUUAAACUUUCUCGUAGUUCGGAUUGUGGGCUGCAACUCGCCCACAUGAAGUUGGAAUCGCUAGUAAUCGCCAGUCAGCUAUAUGGCGGUGAAUCCGUUCCCGGGCCU
RNAcentral lists this ribosomal RNA (816 nucleotides) under uncultured bacterium. RNAcentral's name for it is "bacterial SSU rRNA". It matches the Rfam family "Bacterial small subunit ribosomal RNA", at positions 546 to 1381 of the family's 1533-position model. The record is from RNAcentral.